CCUCAGUGAUGAACAAUUCAAGAUGACGAGUCUGAUUGAAAUCCAUUCUUAACAACUGUGAUGUCAAUUCGAGGCAUUUGUCUGAGAGGA
This 90-nucleotide small nucleolar RNA is filed under the name Olea europaea subsp. europaea. RNAcentral describes it as "Plant small nucleolar RNA SNOR75". It matches the Rfam family "Plant small nucleolar RNA SNOR75". Rfam says of the family: U15 is a member of the C/D class of snoRNA which contain the C (UGAUGA) and D (CUGA) box motifs. Lineage: Eukaryota; Viridiplantae; Streptophyta; Magnoliopsida; Lamiales; Oleaceae. The record is from Rfam by way of RNAcentral.